RNAcentral lists this ribosomal RNA (440 nucleotides) under uncultured bacterium. Its description in RNAcentral is "partial 16S ribosomal RNA". It matches the Rfam family "Bacterial small subunit ribosomal RNA", at positions 338 to 795 of the family's 1533-position model. The record is from RNAcentral.
CCUACGUGUGGCAGCAGUGGGGAAUAUUGCACCAUGUGGGAAACCCUGAUGCAGCAACGCCGCGUGAGUGAAGAAGUAUUUCGGUAUGUAAAGCUCUAUCCGCAGGGAAGAAAAUGACGGUACCUGAGGCAGCAGCCCCGGCUAACUACGUGCCAGCAGCCGCGGUAAUACGUAGGGCGCCAGAGUUAUCCGGAUUUACUGGGUGUAAAGGGAGCGUAGACGGCGAUGCAAGUCUGAAGUGAAAGCCCGGGGCGCAACCCCGGGAAUGCUUUGGAAACUGUAUGGCUGGAGUGCUGGAGAGGCAAGCGGAAUUCCUAGUGUAGCGGUGAAAUGCGUAGAUAUUAGGAAGAACACCAGUGGCGAAGGCGGCUUGCUGGACAGUAACUGACGUUGAGGCUCGAAAGCGUGGGGAGCAAACAGGAUUAGAUACCCGUGUAGUC